This 967-nucleotide ribosomal RNA is filed under the name uncultured Methanosphaerula sp. RNAcentral describes it as "bacterial SSU rRNA". It matches the Rfam family "Archaeal small subunit ribosomal RNA", at positions 80 to 1055 of the family's 1478-position model. Lineage: Archaea; Methanobacteriati; Methanobacteriota; Methanomicrobia; Methanomicrobiales; Methanoregulaceae. The record is from RNAcentral.
UGGGGUCUGCUAGUACACGUGGAUACCUACCCUAAGGUGGGAGAUAACCCCGGGAAACUGGGGAUAAUACCCCAUAGUCUAUGGAAGCUGGAAUGCUCUAUAGUUGAAAGAUUUAUCGCCUUAGGAUGGGUCUGCGGCCGAUUAGGUAGUUGUUGGGGUAACGGCCCAACAAGCCUUUGAUCGGUACGGGUUGUGGGAGCAAGAGCCCGGAGAUGGAUUCUGAGACACGAAUCCAGGCCCUACGGGGCGCAGCAGGCGCGAAAACUUUACAAUGCGGGAAACCGUGAUAAGGGAACUCCGAGUGCCCGUAAACGCGGGCUGUCCAUCUGCUUAAAAAACAGGUGAAGAAAGGGCCGGGCAAGACCGGUGCCAGCCGCCGCGGUAAUACCGGCGGCUCGAGUGGUGGCCACUAUUACUGGGCUUAAAGCGUCCGUAGCUUGGUUGUUAAGUCUCUUGGGAAAUCUGUCGGCUUAACCGACAGGCGUUUAAGGGAUACUGGCAAUCUAGGGACCGGGAGAGGUGAGAGGUACUCCAGGGGUAGGAGUGAAAUCCUGUAAUCCUUGGGGGACCACCUGUGGCGUAGGCGUCUCACCAGAACGGCUCCGACAGUGAGGGACGAAAGCUGGGGGAGCAAACCGGAUUAGAUACCCGGGUAGUCCCAGCCGUAAACGAUGCGCGUUAGGUGUAUCGGUGACCACGAGUCACCGAGGUGCCGAAGAGAAAUCGUGAAACGUGCCGCCUGGGAAGUACGGUCGCAAGGCUGAAACUUAAAGGAAUUGGCGGGGGAGCACCACAACAGGUGGAGCCUGCGGUUUAAUCGGACUCAACGCCGGGAAGCUCACCGGAUAAGACAGCUGAAUGAUAGCCGGGUUGAAGACUCUGCUUGACUAGCUGAGAGGAGGUGCAUGGCCGUCGUCAGUUCGUACUGUGAAGCACCCUGUUAAGUCAGGCAACGAGCGAGACCCGA